Molecule: ribosomal RNA, 467 nt
Filed under: uncultured bacterium
Lineage: Bacteria
Description: partial 16S ribosomal RNA
Rfam family: Bacterial small subunit ribosomal RNA
Source: RNAcentral
GAUGAACGCUGGCGGCGUGCUUAAUACAUGCAAGUCGAACGGAAAGGCCCAAGCUUGCUUGGGUACUCGAGUGGCGAACGGGUGAGUAACACGUGGGUGAUCUGCCCUGCACUUCGGGAUAAGCCUGGGAAACUGGGUCUAAUAUCGGAUAGGACCACAUUAUGGAUGGUGUGGUGGAAUGUUUUGCGGUGUGGGAUGAGCUCGCGGCGUACCAGCUUGUUGGUGGGGUAAUGGCCUACCAAGGCGUCGACGGGUAGCCGGCCUGAGAGGGUGUACGGCCACAUUGGGACUGAGAUACGGGCCAGACUCCUACGGGAGGCAGCAGUGGGGAAUAUUGCACAAUGGGCGCAAGCCUGAUGCAGCGACGCCGCGUGGGGGAUGACGGCCUUCGGGUUGUAAACUCCUUUCGCUAGGGACGAAGCGUUUUUGUGACGGUACCUGGAGAAGAAGCAACGGCUAACUACGUG